GAAAUUUGCUCAAGGUCACGUAACUAGGCAUCCCAGAGGGAAUGAGCUGCAGGAUUAUGGAAUGGAGUCACAGGUGGUUCCAGCUCUUCAGUUCUGCAAAUUCUCACUCUGUCUCAAACCCUGGUGGCCAGACAAUAGCCUGAGCAGAUACUUUCUAAAGAAUGUUUACUGCAAUUCUAUAUAAAAUCAGAAAAAGCGAGAACAACCAAUCUUUCAUCAACAUGGAAUUAGAAGUAAUGAAGAAGGGUGCCUGCCCACAGUGGUAUACUCCUCAACCGCUGUAAAGAAUGUCUGAGCUAAACUGAUUGUGGACUGAAGAGGGGCAGUGAGACAGGUUAAGGGACUUGUCUUACAUCAUACUUGCACCUUCCCUUGGCUCCUUAUCUUCUUAUCUCCUCCCUAGAAAGCUCAAUAAGUUUUAUGUGCCAUAGAGAGUUGGAAACCCAACCUUCCUCUUGCUGUCAUCAGCACUAGGGGGAAAAUGAGAGGCUGGAUAGUGCAGAGGUCAAUAAGAGACUUGGCCUCAGCUAAACCUGAGUUUGAACCUAGAGCUGGCAACCCCUCUACCCCCAGUUUCCUACAGCCUCCCCGUAAAGUAGUAGAGCAGAAGUGGUGGUUUUGUGGUGGGUCUAGAGGACUGCAUCCACUGAGACCCCUCCUCCUCCUGUGGCUGGCACAGAGCAGCAGAGACAAGCCUGAGUGUCUAAAGGUCGAAAGACCACUGGGCCGGGAGAAUCCUGCCAUUGCAGACAGGAGAGGACACAGCCAUCACUACUGAGGACUGAUGAUCAGCACCAGAUGGAGGCCUCUCAGUGGACGUCAGCAUGCAUGUCUAAGUGCCCUUCUUCCCUAAUGACUUGGCUCUAGAUAAGUCACCCCAAACUAAAGUAGCCCACGAAAAAAAAAAUAAAAAGAAGAAUCCAAAACUCCUGGAGCAGGGCCUGGAACUGGAAAGUUGGGCGGUGACACACUCUCCUGCCUUAUGGAAGACUUUGCAUCAGCAUGACGAGAAGUGGUGGCUGAUGACUCCAAGGUGCUGAGUAGCUUUAUUAAUCACAACUACAGACUAAAGGCUGUGUGUUUUCUCUGGAAGUGGAGUGAGAGAUUGCCUUGUCUCCUGCCGCUCCCACAGUAUAAUCAAGGCAUCAAGCUAAAUUAAAGGAAAUGCCAUCUUCCCGUGACAGCAGGUGCAAAAUUACCUCUAAUUAUGAAUUUGCUAGGUACAACAGUGACUCUGUGUGAAUUAUAACAUUGCAUUCAUUAAAACAACCAUUUAGGGUCUCACUUACCUUGUCAUGCAUAUAGAAUCCCAGAAUCUGAGAGUGAGUUCAUAUCAAAUCUGCUGUGCUCUUGGAGAACUGUGCUGGUCUGACAAUUUGUGACCUGACAUUUUUGUUCAAAGUCUACAUUUCAGAGUAAGGACUGCCGGGUCUGAGUCCCAGAUUUACUAUGGACUGGCAUAUGACUUCAAUAAGUCAGUUAUCUUAUUGAGCUCAGGUUUUUUUUCUUUUCUUCUUAAACGUAUUCUCAUACCCAUUUUACAGAUAAGGAGGUCAGGGCUCAAGGAGGCCAGAGGUUUGAGUUGAGGUGAAUUCUCGACAUCACAUGGUUAUCCUGUGAUAUCAAUUCUAUUCUACCCCAAGUUUCUGACGUCAAAGCCAGUAUCCUGUCUGCUGUGCCAUGCCACCACCUGGGCCAGCUACCAAAAACAUGUUUCUGGACUUUUCCCAUGCCCUCCUUCCCUGGGCCAGAGGCCUGAUUCUUAGAGGGAUCUUGUAGCCUCUUGGCUGAUAAGGGCUCUCCCUGUGGUGUGGACACAAGCCUUUUUUUGAUGGAUUUUUUUAUUUGUGAGUCUGGGUAUUUCUUCCUCCUGUAAAUGGUUAUUUCUCUACACAGAUACACGUGGGAGAAUAUUUAAUUAGAACUGAAAAUGUUUUGAGCACAUUAAGUACAAUCUAAGUGAUAAGUAUCAUGAUCUUUAAAUGCUACAAUAAGCAUUAUAAUACAUGCCUAAUUCACUG
RNAcentral lists this long non-coding RNA (2021 nucleotides) under Homo sapiens (human). RNAcentral's name for it is "HSALNT0231213". The record is from RNAcentral. Lineage: Eukaryota; Metazoa; Chordata; Mammalia; Primates; Hominidae.